RNAcentral lists this ribosomal RNA (496 nucleotides) under uncultured bacterium. RNAcentral's name for it is "partial 16S ribosomal RNA". It matches the Rfam family "Bacterial small subunit ribosomal RNA", at positions 29 to 507 of the family's 1533-position model. The record is from RNAcentral.
AUGAACGCUGGCGGCGUGCCUAAUCCAUGCAAGUCGAGCGAACAGACGAGGAGCUUGCUCCUCUGACGUUAGCGGCGGACGGGUGAGUAACACGUGGAUAACCUACCUAUAAGACUGGGAUAACUUCGGGAAACCGGAGCUAAUACCGGAUAAUAUAUUGAACCGCAUGGUUCAAUAGUGAAAGACGGUUUUGCUGUCACUUAUAGAUGGAUCCGCGCCGCAUUAGCUAGUUGGUAAGGUAACGGCUUACCAAGGCAACGAUGCGUAGCCGACCUGAGAGGGUGAUCGGCCACACUGGAACUGAGACACGGUCCAGACUCCUACGGGAGGCAGCAGUAGGGAAUCUUCCGCAAUGGGCGAAAGCCUGACGGAGCAACGCCGCGUGAGUGAUGAAGGUCUUCGGAUCGUAAAACUCUGUUAUUAGGGAAGAACAAAUGUGUAAGUAACUAUGCACGUCUUGACGAUACCUAAUCAGAAAGCCACGGCUAACUACGUG